UACGUGCCAGCAGCCGCGGUAAUACGUAGGUGGCAAGCGUUAUCCGGGAAUUAUUGGGCGUAAAGCGCGCGCAGGCGGUCUCUUAAGUCUGAUGUGAAAGCCCACGGCUCAACCCGUGGAGGGUCAUUGGAAACUGGGAGACUUGAGUGCAGGAGAGAAAAGUGGAAUUCCACGUGUAGCGGUGAAAUGCGUAGAGAUGUGGAGGAACACCAGUGGCGAAGGCGGCUUUUUGGCCUGUAACUGACGCUGAGGCGCGAAAGCGUGGGGAGCAAACAGGAUUAGAUACCCUGGUAGUCCACGCCGUAAACGAUGAGUGCUAGGUGUUGGGGGGUUCCACCCUCAGUGCUGAAGUUAACACAUUAAGCACUCCGCCUGGGGAGUACGACCGCAAGGUUGAAACUCAAAGGAAUUGACGGGGGCCCGCACAAGCAGUGGAGCAUGUGGUUUAAUUCGAAGCAACGCGAAGAACCUUACCAGGUCUUGACAUCCUUUGACCACUCUAGAGAUAGAGCUUUCCCCUUCGGGGGACAAAGUGACAGGUGGUGCAUGGUUGUCGUCAGCUCGUGUCGUGAGAUGUUGGGUUAAGUCCCGCAACGAGCGCAACCCUUGACCUUAGUUGCCAGCAUUCAGUUGGGCACUCUAAGGUGACUGCCGGUGACAAACCGGAGGAAGGUGGGGAUGACGUCAAAUCAUCAUGCCCCUUAUGACCUGGGCUACACACGUGCUACAAUGGAUGAUACAAAGGGUUGCGAAGCCGCGAGGCCAAGCCAAUCCCAAAAAGUCAUUCUCAGUUCGGAUUGUAGGCUGCAACUCGCCUACAUGAAGCCGGAAUUGCUAGUAAUCGCGGAUCAGCAUGCCGCGGUGAAUACGUUCCCGGGCCUUGUACACACCGCCCGUCACACCACGAGAGUUUGUAACACCCGAAGUCGGUGGGGUAACCCUUUGGAGCCAGCCGCCGAAGUACG
RNAcentral lists this ribosomal RNA (965 nucleotides) under uncultured prokaryote. RNAcentral describes it as "bacterial SSU rRNA". It matches the Rfam family "Bacterial small subunit ribosomal RNA", at positions 502 to 1469 of the family's 1533-position model. The record is from RNAcentral.